GCCCCAGCCUGGAGCCAUCCUCCCCACGCAGCCUCUCCCCAGGGCUGGGGCUCUGCCCUGGUGAUUGAGGGAGGAGACUCUGUCCCCUCCCCGGGCGCCCAAGCACCGACCUCCUGCUCUGCAGAGACAGCAAACCCACCACAGCAUCCUCUGAGGCCAGGGGACAAGAAGGAACAUGCAUAACCCUUCAGAAACUCCAGCUGGGCACAUUGCUGAGAACCUUCUCAAAGCCAAAGAAAUAGCCCUCAAUGACUCUCGUGUUCCUGAACAGCUCAGGAAUUACUUACAAAAAGCUCUUGAUGUUGCUCUUGGACUAGACCCUUACCUGGAUGCAAUGGCAGCUUCCAAGAGAAAAACUUCACCUGAGCUCAUCCCAGGAGAUGCUGAAGGAGUUGAAAGCAGUGUCAGACUUCAGGAAACACGUGCCUCUGGCUCUUUGAAUGGCCAAAUUUUUAGGAUGUUUGUCCAUAUGACCAGAGCCAGGAAGAUUUUAUUAAUUGGCAAGCUUAAAGGUUACAGUAUCCUUGCUAUUGCAGAGGAAUUGCCAGACAAUGGCAAAAUCUUUGCCUGUGCAGAAGAGCCGUAUCUCGGAAUGAACAGCCAGGAGGCAUUUGAUUAUUCCUCAGAUGGCAAAAAGAUAAGCCUGCGAGUGGGACCAGUGGCAGACACCUUGGAGGCAUUACAUGCUGAGGACGAGCACUUUGAUAUAGUCUUUAUUGAUGCUGAUCAAAGGAAUGCUGUUCAGUACUACAGCUUUGUCAUGGAUAACCACUUGCUGAGCAUGGAUGCAGUGAUCUGUGUAGAGAAUACACUCAUGAAAGGACAAGUCUACCUGGAGAAUGUAUCAGAUGAAAAUGUACUAGCUGUCAGAAAAUUAAAUUCAGUGAUUAAUUCAGAUCCUCGUGUUGAGCAGGUGAUUUUGCCUGUGCAGAGUGGACUGAGCCUCAUCCGAAGGAGCCCUGUGCCUCCAGAUGCAGUGAUUGAGUCCAAGACACAAGUGGUGAAGGAUGAUGUCUUCUGGGGCUGCAACCGGCGCCGCAUCCUGGAGCGGCUGCGCCUGGACGGCAGGGUGGCCUAUGUCACAGGAGGAGGGCAAGGGAUUGGCAGGGCCUUUGCCCACGCCCUGGGGGAAGCUGGGGCUAAAGUGGCUGUGGUGGAUCUGGUCCUUGCCAAGGCAGAAGCGGUGGCGUGUGAGCUCAGCCUCAAAGGCAUUAAAAGCUUUGCCCUGGCAGCAGAUGUAAGCAAGCCUGAGGAUGUGCAAAGGAUGGUGGAUGCAAUUGUGGCUCGCUGGGGCACAGUCCACAUUGCAUGCAACAAUGCAGGAAUCAAUCUGAACUCUGCAAGUGAAGAGACUUCCCUGGAGGAAUGGGACAAAACUUUUAAUGUUAAUUUACGAGGAUUAUUUUUGUGCUGCCAAGCUGCAGGCCGCAUUAUGCUGAAUCAAGGAUAUGGGAAGAUAAUUAACACAGCAUCUAUGGCAAGUUUAAUAGUCCCUCACCCACAGAAGCAGUUGGCGUACAACGCCUCCAAAGCCGGGGUCGUAAAAUUAACACAGACAUUGGGAACGGAGUGGAUUGACAGAGGAGUAAAAGUCAACUGCAUUUCCCCGGGCAUCGUUGACACGCCGCUGAUCCGCUCGCAGGAGCUGCGGCCGCUGGUGCGGCGCUGGCUGGCUGACAUCCCAGCUGGGAGGCUGGCCCAGCCCACGGACCUGCAGGCUGCUGUGGUCUACCUGGCCUCCGACGCCUCUGACUACAUGACAGGCCACAACCUGGUCAUCGAGGGUGGCCAGAGCCUGUGGUGAGAGGCGUCCUGCAUCUCCCUUCUCACGGGCCUUGGAAAGGAAGGAAAGUACACGCUCUUCCUUGGAGAACCCUGAUGCAGUCCUACAGCAUCUGCCUUCUCACCAUAACAGACUGGAAUUCUUCAAAAUUCCUGAAUAACAAUAAUGGAGACCAGAAACACGAAUCUUCCUGGAAUGAGCCCCACCAGACAAGCUCUCCUCAGGCUGCCCUUGCUGUACCCUCCUGUGGGACAAACAGCCUCAGACACGAGGCGACAGAGUGUGUGGGAAGACAACAUCAAAGCCAGGGCUUGUUACAGACCCUUCCUCGAGUCCUGUCAUCUCAGGAGUGGGCUGGACACCCCGGUGGCAAAACCACCACAUUUCCACAGGAUGGGAUUUAUAUGGUCUGGGGAUUUGUAUAGCAGCUCUGGAAGAAACCAUCAAAGGAAGGACAGCUGGUUACAGGAACAGAUAAGGAGAAAGAUGACUUUGCAGGUAGCUGAAGGAGAUAUCCAAGGAGUAGCUGAAGAAGACAGAGUACAGGGCAGCUGCCUUCCAGAGAAGACAUGUGGGUGCAAGAAAGAGGUGCUGGAGCAGCCAGGCUCCUGGUAUCCCCACAGAUGUUACACUUGCUCAGCUAUGGAUGUCCUUUGAGCCAGGUAAAGGUGGCACUGGAAGAACAAAGGUCUGUCCCAUUUGGGAAAAGGAAACCCAGAUACAGAGUUAUCCUUGAAUACAAGAACUUGCACCCCUCCAGAAGCAGAGGACCAUGUGGGUGGAGCUGGGGCUGCCUGCAGUGGUGACCCAAAAUCUCAUUUACUUACCCAACAUCCAUGUGAGAGCUGGGAAUGAGAAAAGGACUUUCUAUUCUAUCCUGGGACAUUUUCCCUCAGACCUUGUAUUUGUCUCAGCAAUGUACUCCAAUGACCUAUGAACUUCUCUGUUGGAAGUCCCUGGUCCCUCUUCAGUACAACUAAAAUGGUGUCUCCCACUGGAAAGCACUAGGAGAUGACUGUCCAAGAUGCCAAGUGCUACCUCAGGAGAGCCAAGCCCUUCACAGAGGCAGCAGAUGCAGUUCAGCAUUGCUCAUUCUGUUGUGCUUCAACUCUGACCACGGAGGCGCGAGCUCCUGGGACAGAAAGUGCUCUGUUUACACUCAGACCUUGGCAUUUUUCCUAAGGGUACCAAUUAUAAUGGUGUUUUUUUGUGAUAUGGGCACACAUCCAUUAUGAAUUGGCUUGCACCCACCAACUCAUUUUGUACAGGCCAUGGAACAUCCAUCAGAUGGCAACGAUUCCCAUUCGUGUGCAAUGUUAAGGAAAUCUAGAUCAUUACCAGCAGGAUAAUGAAUUCCCUAGAAUUGUUCCAUUGUGCAAUUAUAUGAAGUAUGCUAAGAGAAAGGGCAGUUUCUCAAUAAAGUACUCCUUUUUAUUUUCCUAAACCACAGGAAUGAUAGAUUAUUAAUCAUGAUUAAUGCUCAGUUACAGUGAAUUAUAGUGGAGCAGUGCCUGGAAAUCCCAGUCUGCUUGGUAAACUCAUUUUCUUGCAUAAUAGGAAACUUACCUUGCAUUUAAGAGAACCUAAACAGAUGAAAGCAAUGGAACCACCCAUUUCACAUAAUUAAAAGAAAAAUUUAAUAGAUACAUACAUUCUUAGUCUGACACUCUUGAACUUUUUUUUAUACUGUACAAGCAUAAUAGAAGAAAUACAAUUGCAAACAUCUUAAUUGUUCCCAUAUUUUGCUUUCUUCCUGAGAACCAAAAUCUUCUAGAGCUCAGCUGUAGCACUCAGCCUGAAUCCCUCAGCAGCACUGGAGUUAAGGCAGAGCUGUGCAUUGUCUGGACAUUUGGAAGAUGUUUCUUGCUUUAGCUGAUGAUUGCUCAAGACAAUAUGAAUGAUCAAAGUGCUUUAGGAAGCAGAGGAAAGUCAAAUGAGGUAAUAUAAUAUAUUCCAUCCCUAUAUUUGGGGAUGUACAUGGGAUAAUUUUUGCCAGCCCCAUAUCUAAGGGACUCAUUGCACAUGGAGAGUAAGGCACCAAAAAGACAUUAUGGAAGUUCUCAUGGUCAGUCAGAGAUAAUAAUAUUCUUAAUAUUCUUUGAGAUAACUGAACAUUAAACUUUUGGAAGCCACCAGAGGCUUUUCCAAUAUUUAGCAAACAUCAGUUCCCCUAAAGUUUACAUCCUAAUCCGUAUUGUGUUCUGAGAACAGAGUGAAAGGAGGUGAGAAGACAUUUUUGUCUCAAGGAUGAGACUGCUGGGUCAUUUCCAAGAGGAGAUCCUUAGAGAGCAUCCCAUGGUCCUUUCCUGUGGAAGGUAGCAAUGCAGCUCUCCGUUAUUCUCUCUGUCUCUCUCUUCCCCCAAGCAAUCUGUCAGUGCAUUUCUGGUGCCGGGGAGAGGCGUCGUGUCGGAGCGCUGUUCCCGUUUGCAAAACGGGAACUUCUAUUUGUUGUUCUCAGGAGCUGGUUUCACACACUGACAUCUCGCCGGGAGCACAGCUGAGUCCAACAUGUUCCCAACAGCCAUCCACCCAAACGCCUCCUACUCCAGCACCCAGACCUUCCUUCCCAGUAAAUAAAAAAUACAGAGCCAGCCUCGAAUUGUUCCAAAUGCUUCGGCUUCCCUGGAAUGUCUGCCCAUGUUCAGAUCUGAUAAAUGGGUAUUUUUCUGCACCAGGAAGUCAGUUUAGUGUGGGAAUAGGAGGCUUUUCAAAGAGUUUCUGGAAUAGUUAAUGGAAAAGUCUGACUGACUUUCUCUGGUGUCAAUAUGUUUAAGUGCUCAUACCUGUCAUGAAAGUACAAUGUUGCAAUUAACAACUUUAAGACAGAAAACAAAGUUAUCACAAGCUGCUGAUUCUACUGUGUUGUAUGAAAUAACAUGCUUUUCAAGGUUUCAUUGCUGAAAAAGGUCUCAAAAAAUCUACUUCCUAAAGCAGGAAACUGAGCAGUGUGCCCAUGUACACUUCAGCAAGGAGAUAUUGCUGCAUUAUUUAAAACACCACCAACAGCAGCUCUCAAUAUAUCCCAGUGUGAUUCCAUUCGUAUUGCUGGGACAUCCUGUCUAAUCAUGGGUAUAGUUAUUCUGUCUUUGACCUUACCUCUGCUCUGUAGUAGACAUGACCUCAGUAUGCCAAUCUAUGGAUUACAACACCAAAAAAAAAAUCUUUUGAAUUAUGAUUCCUAGGAAAAAAGUUGGAAAAAAUUCCACAUUUGUGCCAAAAGCUCCCAGUCCAGUUCCACAGCUGAAUGAGACUUCUCUUGCCAUGCAUUAUACUGGUGUGGUCAAUAUGUUUUUUCUUGCAGACUCAGAAUUGGAACAAGACAUCCUGGCUUGAAAGGCUAAUUCCCCAUCUCUGAUUCCCUCACUGACAACAUUUAGGGGUAUGCCACCCUCUGGUUCCCCCUCUUGGGCUCCGUUCAGCCAUUGCACAUGAAAUCUCCCAUUUUGGAGACUGGCAUCAAGAGCAAGGACUGCCAAUGUACAUCUUUAUUGGUGCUUCUCUAGGAACUGGUACGUGGAACAAGCUUCCUUCUUUUCUGCAUCCUAAAUGCCUUGGGUCAGAGUUUUUAUUCAUAAAUAUCCACAUGCCACUUUCUAUCACAACCUGUGGCAGAAAGGAUAGAAUGAUCCAAGCCUCUGUGGCCUGGUAUGUAGAAGUGAGAGUUUAGCUUAGCUUUGGAAGAUUUAAGAUCAAAAUUCCAUGGGAGAGUGCAAAUUGAAGCAUUAAAACUCAGCAUUGCCCAUCCUGGGAUGAGUGACCCAAACCAGUGCCUCCUGGAUGUCAGUGGGUUGUGCUGUGGGAUUUGGGUCCAGACCCAGCCAGCAGGCUGGGACUGAUGUGGUGAUGAAGGACUAAUGAUUUAGCUCCUUUAGGUGACUACAGCUCACAAUGGGACAAUGCAAGAUAAGGAAAUCUCUUCUAUUCCUCACCAAUGUCCUGGAAGGAGCAGAAAAAUGAGAUGUUCUGGGCUGCUCGCUGCAUUGCUGAGCAGACUUCUGAAAUCUCCAUGGCGAGCUCCAGGCACUCCCCAGUCUCGUGGCAGGACUCAAAGAGGCUGCAAUCAAUGUCACAGUCACAGUUGCAGUCGUUGUUGCCGUGCUCUUCGUCGGAGGUCUGGUAAUAUCUAUUGGAUGGACAACAGGUACCUUUGACUUCUGAGAUAUCUUAAAGAAAAGCCAAGGAAAGGCUGACAGAGAGUGAAACCUUGAUGACACUGCAGCUGUGCCCCCAGUAUCUUCGCAGAGAGAGGAGGAAAUGUGGAAGGGAUGGAUGGAUUACAGGGAAAGGAAGCAGAAAAUUAACUGCCUAGACAGAAAGUUUCAUCCAAGGAGAGGUGAAGAGGAUCACCAGCAAACACAGAAAUUCAGGGAAUACAGCAAUUUUCAUGCAGCUGACACAACUUGUCUUACCCAAAAGAGCAGAGACUGCUUGGGGAUCCUGAUUCACUGAUGCAGCAUUGAACCCUGAGUUUCUGAAUGAGGCCCUGGCUGGACCAAAUUCAGCAGCAGUGGCUGGAGACACAACCCCACAUGUGCAGGUCGGCGCUGAGUGCAGGCAUAAAUGUAUCUGCGUGCUGAGGUGUAGCAAGUGGCAGAAACAUCUCCAGAACAUUGUAAAAAAUCUGUGCUUCCGAGAGAGGAUGUGCUGCCUGGCCCAAAGGAAGCUCUCUGCACUCAAGGAACCAGCCACCCAGAUUUUUUGACAAUUUUACAUGGUACACAAGAGGGAACUCUGCCUUAGGCAGGUGAGCUGGAGGAUGCUGCUCUUCAGCUGGGUGAUGGACUGAUUCAUCCUGACCACACACUGACUUCCAGCUUGACCUCCCUGUGAUGCUGCCUUCUGACCUGGCCCCCAUCUGCAGGUCUGCCUACUCCUCUCACUCAGAAGUACAUAAUUUUCAUGUGAGUGGUUGUGGAGUCCAUCUUGUUGCUCUCAUCAUUUCAUCUGCUCUUUUUACACCCCUGGAUUUGGGAAUGCUGACAUUGCUAAGGUUCACACCAAGGCCUCCCGUUUGAAAAAUGUAUGUGUGCUCCUGCACCUAAUGUAUAUGCAUAUUCAGUGUGACUGCAUAUGGAAAUGGAGCAUCCAUGCCAAGAGUUUUCCAGCCAAGAGGCUUUUUGCAUGUCUCCAGGUCUGCCUUAGAAAGGCACUGGAAGAAAGGAAGGAAAAUGAGGUUAUCCUACAAAAUAAUCUACUACUAUUUGGUAAGGGCACAGGAAUAGAGAAUGAAGCAGUGGUUUAAUACUGGGAGUAGAAGCUGCAUGUAGUAAUCAGCUGAACAUUUACUUCAUUCAUUAGUGCAAAGCAAAUGCUGGGUUGUGCAGAAGUCAAUGAAAAAUUUCCACGGUUUUGCUGCAGGCUUUGCUGAAUGACACCACUUGUCCACAGAAGUGCUCUGAACCUCAGACUCAGAGCCUCAAUGAUGCACCUGGAGCUCUGCAUGUGGAAUCCAGCAAGGUCUGUCUGGGUGCUCCGUGGAGCAGAGCUCCCUCCAGAGCUGAAGGCAGAUGGUCGCUGGGGAGCCCAGUGCCAGGUCUGGGUGACAGGAGCGGAAAGGCAAGGACGGCCACAGCCGGAUGAGACACUUCUCUUCCUCUCUGGAUGUAACACGCUGAAAACGCCAGAGAUACGUCAGCCAGAGAUGGGGCUGGGGGCCGGAGCUGCGUCAGAAACAGCCCUUCUCCUGCGGGGGUGGAAGAGGAGCCCUGACUCCCCAGGAAGGUCAAGGCCGGCCAGCAAACAACCCGGGCAAGAAACCCCCAGAUGGAUAAACAAUCCAGACAUCUGGUGAGAUCCCGGCAUUGCUGCAAUCAGGGAGGUUUUGGCACCGGCUUUGACACUGCCAGGAUUUCCCUUGUAAUUAGCAGCGUGCAGCCUGUCUGGGGAGGAUGUUCCCUCCGGAAAGCUGCUGGGACCAGGCUGCAAAUCGAGCUUAAUCUCUGUGAAGCAAAGAAUAACACCCAGUUAGUCUCUGGCUCCCCAAAUAACAAAAUAUUUCUAACUGGAACUCAACAAAUAUUAGAUGCUACUGAUAACUAACUACUGGUAACUAACUGGCUUGGUUGCUGGCAAGAUUUCCUAAGGGGCUCACGGUGGGGCCACGAGGACAGCAGUGGAACAGACUUGGAGCAGCCAUGAGAAGGGAUUCAGUAUGGCAAAGGGAGCAUAAACCUCAGAGCAUGUGGAAGUGCCUGCAUCCCCUUCACAGCAUCAGAAAGUAAGGGGGUGUUUAUAAACAAUGCAGAGUUCUGGGCUGGAGGAGACAGAGGAGAGGAUAAUCUAAAGGCGUUGUGGUUGCUACUGCAAGCCUGUCUUUUGUCUCUUCUGUUCAGCCUGAGAGCAACGGCUGAAAUCUAACAUCUGGUGUAACUGUACAAACCUGACCUUAGGUCACAAAACAAGUAGCCAAUGAUGAGGACAAGUGUAGGAAGAAGAUACUGGCAAAAGAAUAUUCUUCUUCAUGAUUCUUCAAGAGGAACAAUGGAGCCAUCUUCCAAGAGAGGUCGAUGCCCAAGGCUGAUUGAACCUCUCUCAUCCCAACCCCUCUGCCAUGGGCAGGGACACUUUCCACUAGACCAGGCUGAUCCAAGCCCCACCUGACCUGGCUUUGAAUGCUUCCAGGAUGGAGCAGCCACAGCUUCUCCAGCCUACAGAUAAAAAGCUUCACCCCAAAAGCUUCAGCGCCCAAAAGAAACAAAGGUGCUGCAAACCCACCUCAAAAGGCCCAGAACACCUGGUUUCAGGCACAACAGGAAGAUCAGAACAUACCUUAUCAUAAAUAUGCAUAUGCGGCGCAGGAGCCCGCCACCUCCUUGGAGUGAUGCCAUAAUUGACGGAACAAAGUACAACAAAACUUCACAUCACUGGUGGAUCAGAAGAACAGAGGAGAGCUGCUGAAAUGGCAAGCAGAGGCCGGCUCCAGAUAUUACUCUGGGGCUGUGAGAGGAAGGUGAUGCAGAGGAGUCGAAUUCAUGAACAAUUAGCACCCUUUGAUAAGACACCAUCUGCUCCCAGCUGCCUGGCUCCAAUUCCCCAACAGACACUUGGGAAUUCCUCUCCAAAUAAACCACUGGUGUAACAGGAAAACAGAACUGUCAGCUCCAGUGAAGUUGUGCCUCCUUGCAUCAGCGCCGAGUGUGUCUCACUCUUUAACCAAGAAGGAAAAAACUGUGAAAGGCAGUAAAAUGCCAGCAGCCACCACUGAAAGAGCCAGACAGCAGAGCUGAGAUUGCACUGUGGUUGAAGCAUGACAGGAAGUUACAUCCAUCCCAUGGUAUGGAGAGCACUUGGCUGCAUUUGGCUGAAGCUCUGCGAGCACCACUCCUGCAGCGCCAUCCUUCACUCCUCGCCACGGCUGCUCUCAAGCCACUGCACAUUAAAAGCUCAUCUGAGGUAUGAGUCACUUCCAUCAAAAGAGGAGGAUGCCUUGAUCUGUGUGCGAGCGAGCUUUGGAGCAGCAGCUGUUGGAGCAAAUACAAACGUCCAUGCCAAGGAUUGUAAGGAUGGAGUUUAUCUAAUAUGUAAAAAAAACACCUGCUGCAAAUGAAAAAUUACACCCACAACCACCUGAAUAAGAUAAGCAAAUGAUGGGGGAAAUGAAGAGACAGAUUUAUUAUUAAUGCUAACAAAGAAAAUUCCUGUGAAGAAAGGAGGAGGGAUUGGUAAAUACCCCAAGGUGAUGUUGCUUGCCAUUUCCAGCUCAUGUGCUUUGAAGAUCUCUAGCCAAGGUAAUAAAAUCGGGCAAAAAGAAGGACUUUGCUAUGUCCCAGCUCCAGGAUUUGGGGAAAAACCAGGUGUGGAUACCAUGGAGGCUGCAAACACACCUGAGGGCCAUAUCCCACCACCUCAGUCAUCACUGCUGGGGAGAGUGGUGGCUUGUGGCGAUGUGAGGAUGAAGAGUAUUCAACGUGCCAGAAUUAACCACCACUGCUGCAAGGAUGAAAGAUAGCCCUGAUUAACACACCAUUAAAUGAACGUUUAACAUCAUCAUUGAAGACUGAGCCUGAUUAAUAGGUCAAGAAGGGCUAAUUACACCUUGUUGUCAGGAAGGGUGUGUGUAUGCGUGCAAGUGAGCGGCACCAGGGAUUGCCAGUCCCUUAAAUUAGACCAAUAAUGUGAAGUUUGUCAGAAUCUGUGACCAUGGCCCAAGUUAAAUGUCACUGAUGGGAUCGUCGGCAGGGAGCAGGUGGGUGUGCAAAGAGCACACCAGCUGGCAUGUCCUCCUGGGCCUCCAGCUCCUGAGCUUUUCCCUCUGGGACAGGAGAAACCCAGAAAAACUACUCACAGGCUCCGGUUUUCUUUAGAAAUUCCUCAGAGGCAUUGCCUCACCACUGCCCAUAAAAGCGCUGUUCAGCUGUGGUGGAAAACAGCGUUUCUGCCUGGAAAAGGUAUUUCCCAGCUGGCUGUUGCUGGUGGAGUAGGAAGGCAUUGUGUGAUGUUCCCUGAUGGAGCAGCCAGGGAGGAGAAAUGUGAUUAAUAACACAAAGAUGAUACAGGAGGUGGCCAAGAGCCAGAUUCCCAUCCGCUGCUCCAGGCAGCACUGACUGGGACGGGAGGGGAAAUGAUGGUCCUGCUGCUCAGCUCAGUUGCCAGCUCCUCAGCACAAGCUGCAUGUGGCACCCACCCCAGCAGCUCCCCUUAAACCCACGCCCACGGGCAGUCAGCAGAUAACAAACAUGACAUUUGGAACCCCAAAUCAUCUUUCGUGAGAUGCCCAGGCAGGUGGAGCAGCCAAUUAAUCUGGGAUGGCCUUGCAGCCCCUGACCUGCCUGCUGGUGACCUGUGUGGGGACACAGAGUCCCCCAAGGGAGGCUGAGGGCCCUGCUGGGGCUCAUCCAGGGACACGUUUCCUACCUGGAGCUGACUCCCCCCGUUUUACAGAUGCACACCAUAUCAAACAGCAGCUUCUGGCUCAAUCCACUCUGCCUGUGACUUUGGAAAAUUUAAUCCCACAAAUCCUCUCCAGUUUACUAAAAUCUCACUGGUGGUGCAAGUGCACCACACAACCAAGGCCGAAUUUGUAUUCUCUGUAUUUUGAUUAUUAAAAUCUACCAGUCCAUACCAUUUGGGGACACACUAUAAUGAGUGUGCAAAGUUCCCCUCCCCCUACCCCCAAAAAAUAGUUAUCUGGUGUAAUUUUAUGAUAGAAUAUUUUUAUAAAAUCAUUUGUACUAAUUUAAGCAUUUAUCAUUAUAUGCAAAAAGAUUUCUUGAUGAGAAUAUUAUAGACGGUGCAUGUUUUUGACAUUAGCAUUUUAUUUGGAUGACUAAUCUUGCAGAUGUGAAAUUUUAAUGAAUUAUUCAUGAAAAAUCUCUCCUCUGAAAUUUCAUUUUGCUGCUAAUGCUAGUUAUUAAACAUUUUAUUUUUCUUUACAAAACUUGAUGAGGAAAAUAAAUGUGUGCUUACUCGGAAGAAAAAGAAGGUGGGUUUUUCCUUCAGUUUGUCUCGGGUGACAGUGCCAGUUGGGACUUUGCUCCUCACAGUUUUAUAGACCAAGGGGUUGCUCCUGCAAACCCCUUUUAGCAGAGGUGCAGUGCACAUUCCCAGCCCUUCCUACCAAAGCCAGCAGCACCAUCAUUCCCAUCAGGGCACUGCACUGGGAAGGAGCUGCACGAUGAAGACCCCAACCCCUUCCUUUGAGAAAGCGAAUAACCCCCUGCGACCCCAAUGGGUGAAACUGAAGGACUUCCUUGGAAAAGAUUAUUAAUUCCUUGAAUGACAGUGUCUUCUUUGCUUCCAGUGCUCCAGCCUCACCCAACUGCCCCGGGUAAGGGCAGACUGUCCACGAAUCCACCACUAAAAUAUUUUAUACUUGGAUGUGGUCGGGGGAGACUCAAGGCAAGAGAUGAGAUUUGUCCAUCCAUGAAUGAGCUAGGACAUGGAUGAGGCGCCCACGGAUCAGGGACCAUGGGAUGUGACAUCAGAGUCACUGUGAGGGGGAACAACAAAACAAGAACUUCGGACAUGGCAACUUGCAUUACCAGUGUGAACAACCAGCAUUUUAUUGCAUUUGAGAAUGCUAUAAUGUCAGUAAUUAGUACUGACUACACAACAUUUUUUAUUGUCUGUAUCAACAGACAUGGAAUGAUGGAAUUACAGUUGAUGUAAGGAAUGAGUUUCUUUUAUGCCUUAUCAAAAAAAAAAAAAAAAAUCUUGUUACUGGCAGCACAUACACACGAAGCACCAUGCUAACAGUCUGGACUGUACCAUUUUCAUCAAGGCUUAUGGGUAGAAGAUACUUGGUUACCUGUUCUGGGCCCAUUAAAAUGCAGUCCUGAACUGCAAAUUCACCUCGCAAGACUAGAAUACUAAAUGACUUCUGAAACAUCUAAAAAAAAUCACUCUGAGUUCAUUAACCAAAGGUACCAAAGGAUUUCAAAAGAGUUUAAACACGUUUGGUUUUUUUUUCCCAUGCUAUAAUGAACGUGAGAUUAUUGGUGAGCUGAAAACUACAAUAGUUCAAAAUUAUUUUAAAAAACUUUUGUAUAUAUAUAUUUAUGUAUGUAUAUAUAUAAAAUAUCUAAUGAUCUGCAAUAUUUGUAGAACCAGCAUCCCUGCCCCGGUCUCUCCCUGAAGCUCCAGGAAAGGGGAGGUGCAGGACCUGCCGCGGGACUCUUGCGAGUGAGAAUCAAAAAAAGGUCAUUUUUAUUUGUGGUCACUUGUUCUACAUAAGCCUUGAUUUUGUUUUUUUUUUUUUGUUUUUUUCAUUUCACUUCUAGUUGAAUGCAGAAACCUAACAGGUUUUACAUUUACAAACUUUUUUUUUUUUUUGUGGACAAGGAAGGCUUUGACUCUCAUUCCUGACAGCGAUUUACCUGAUACAUGGUACUACUUUCAUAAUGUACGCUUUUCUUUGAGAAAAAAAACAUGUAACAAAUUGUCUUUACAUCUUGGCACCUUGUAAAGUAUUUUUUUUGUUUUUUUAUACAAAAAGUUCAAUAGUUUGACACUCCCCAUUAUUAAUCACUACUUCACUGAUAAACUUUGAAAGUGUGACCCUGGAAUUCAUCAUGCAAAAUAUUUACUGCAGCAGGAGAAAAACAUUUUUUUUUUUUAAACGAUUUUUUUUUCCUUUCAAAUAUAUGAACUUUGUUUAAGACAGCCAGAAAAGGCAGUGGUAAGAUAACAGAAGGGGUGGGAAAGUAUCAAAAAAACCAGCUUAAACACAAAAACUGUACAAAAAUGCUUCGAUCAAUGAUAACAGGAGAAAAAAAAAAUCUGUCAACUAUGUUACAAUUUAAAAGCUGAAAAAAAAAGUCAGGGAUUUUCUCCCACAUGUCAGCAAAUGUCAUCCAAUAUUCUUAAAGCAAGGAUAACUAAAUAAAAUACAUGUGCAGCGUAUUCUGCAAUUCCAUUACAUACAGUAGUUUUUUUUUUUCAAAGCUAUUUUUUAGUAUAGUUAAUAUAAAGCAGUUGCACAAAAAGCAAAAGGUGUUUUGACAAACAGGUCUGCAUUUAUUCCUUUUGAGGAAUGAUAUCUAAAAAAAGGACCUUUCCACCUUUUCCUCCCUCCCCACCCUCCCCCCAAAAGACAAAGGCUCACACAGACACAGUGGGAUAUAUAUGUACAACAUAAUAAACCCCUCCCUAAAGAAGCAACUGUAUAUCCAAAGGGAUACAGAAUCAGAAUUGUAAAAAUCAUAGUGAAGUUUGCUUGAUGUAAAGCCUGAGAUUUUCAGUUGGUUCUUCUGCAAGGCUGCAACACCUGCCAGAUAUGUUAAACUCUAAUUUUUUGUUUCUUUUUCUCUUUUUUUAAUUUUUUUUAUUUUUGCUACAGUCUUUAGACUAAGCAUGCAAGACAUACAACUAAGUGCAACUGAGUGAAAUGUAUUUUUUAUUUACUCAUUCCCUAACAGUUUGGACUGAGGUAUGCGUACUAACAGUUUUCUCAUGCUGUUAUCUUUACUCAUGUCUAGCUACACAUGCUGAGAAUGAACUAAUCUACCAGAUUUUUAUCCCCCUUCUGAAUACCGAACUAACCAGCAAACCACUCAGUUUUGAAGCACAGGGCUCAAUUCUCAUGAUCCCUGUCUGGCUACCGCCGGCACGUCACGAAGCUGCCUGGAUAUAAUUUAAACCAAAACUAGAAAAAAAAUUAAAAAAAAAAAUUAAAGACAAUGUUUCCAAAUGACCACAGACUGCCCUUUUUUUUCUUUUUUUUUUUCCUUGUCGUUUUGAAACAGAAAGCAGAGUUUUAGAAAAGUAACUGCCGAUAAAAUUUUUUGUACCAAAGCUUAUGAGUGGACAGGAGUGUUAUUUCCUUAUGAAAAAUGCUGACCAAAAACUAAACAAAACUGAGUAAAUGUGCCAAGAUCAACCAAAAUUAAAGCAGACAUCCCAGCACAGUCCCGGAACAGAAGUGGCACACAAUCUGUAGAACCAAAGACCAAAAAAUUUUUUUUCCUUUUUAUUCUAGAAAUACCAUUAUAUCAUCCAGUUAAAUUGUGGGAGCUUUUCUGUUCUCUUCUGUGUUUUAUUAAACUGUCUCCUUUAUCUGAUACCGUAAUUUUCCACGAAAUAAUUGUGUCUUUGCUUUCUUCAGCUCCCUUCUCAUAGCUCCCCCAGUAACACUGAUUCCUAGUUUUAACCUCAAAAGCUCUCCUCGAUUUCUCUUUACAGACUUUCAUUUUGGUCACUGUAAAGAAUUGCAAAUAAAAAGUAACAACUUUGGUUCAGACAUCUACUUGGCCUUCUAAAUUUUCUAGAAUAAAGGAGCAGUUUCCCUCUCAGGUUAGCAAUAGCCCACAUCUUGUCAUUUCCCUCUAAAUUCUUCAACCUCCUUUGAUCAACAAUAAGAGGAUAUUUGGCUUCAUAAGAUAAAGCAUAUAACAGAGAACAUAAUUUACCUUUGUGUAAUAUCUUUGGUAAUUUUAGGAAAAAAAAAAGGUACAAAGAAGAAUAUAAAUUAAGCUCUGAAAGGCUUUUCGAAAUAAUAAAAAAAAGCUACAGUCCUACAUAAAUAAAUGAGUGACGGAAAAGUGGUUGCAGAAUGAAAAUGUUUAGGUGUUUGGUGACUGAGGUUUACUGACCUAUGGCAACAGAUUUUGUAUGUCGUGUUUGCUUUGCAGAGCUUUGCCAGUUUUGCCUAACAAGCCCUGGCGCCAAUUCUCUCCCAACUCUCCCGACUCCUCCGGCGAGGUUUCCAUACUGGCUGGUGUAAUAUUGCAUAACAAUCCUAACUGCAGUACUGGAUUUGCACAGCUGAAAAUUAACACUUUAGCAUUAGUGGGGCCCCGUCCUUAUUAACUCCCGUAACAAGUUCAAUCUGAAAUCUAAUUUGUAUUCAAACAGAUUAACGCCACCGAGCAAUCCUGAACUGAUGUUUAACCGUGAAACAUCACCAUGUACAGUAACAAUUUAAUGAAGUCAUCUUUCCAACCUCUAUUUGCAAAUGCAAAUGUAAAAAAACAAUAGAAAAAAAAAUAAAGUUGUAAUAAUAAAUGUUUAGGUGCCCAUCUCGGUAAUCUUAGAUGUUGCAGAAAGAUUUGUUGACCCAUUAGAACUCGUGUUAAACAACCGAGAACCUGCCACUGUACUAUUCAUUCUCUACUAAAAGUGAACUCUGUUGGUGCUGCAUAUGUUUCUUUGUGCUGUUCAAUUUUGUGGCAUUUGCUAAUAUUCACCGUUGCUGCCAAAAAAAAAAAAAAAUCCAAAAAAAUCAAAAAACCUAAACAAAACAAGAAUAUAUUAAAAAUACUGCUUUGUGGAAUGAAUCUGUGUUGCUUCCUACAGUGUUUCUAUGUUCAUCUGUCAUUCAUUCUCAUUCUUGCAGUACUUUGUUCCUCUCUCUCCGUUGGACAACCCUUCCACAUGUAUCGUGCAGCAUUUGGGACCUUUUCAAAAAACAACAACAACAAAAAAAGGAGACACCGAAAUGGAAUGUUUUCCAUAGCUAAAGAAAACAUGGUGGCAUCUGAAGGAAAUUGGAAUGAAUGA
RNA transcript from Motacilla alba alba, 15718 nucleotides. RefSeq lists it as uncharacterized. The transcript has 39 exons. Lineage: Eukaryota; Metazoa; Chordata; Aves; Passeriformes; Motacillidae. The record is from RefSeq and is a predicted model, not a curated record.